AGGUGUUUAAUUAGAUUUUCUGGAUCUGACUUCUGCAUACUUUACUCAAGUUGAUAAUGCUUCUCCAGAGGCUGCCAGUCUACUGUGGUGUACAGCAUCGUGCGUCUCUCUUUGGGCUUAUCGCUGUUGUACUUUAAUACUCAUGUAGCGCCAAGGUUCGUAGAAAACCAUAGCAGAAAUAGUUCGUAGUGCUGGUUUCAAGGGUGCUGACUUCAGAUCUGUUUGAACAAAGAGAGCUCAAAUAUGAAGAAGUCUGAAUUAACUUUAGAAAGACAGGAUGCUAUGGAUAACCCAGAGUGAUGCAUUAGAUACAGAGUUGUUAGUAGGCUGCAGCAGAUGGUUAGGAGAACAAGCUUCUGCAUAGUAAUUCAGUUGUAACGUAUUAACAGCCAUAGAAUUUAUGUUCAGAGAACAGCUGCAACUGUUGAUGUGCAUGUGGCAGAAAAAUCAAAACAUAUAAUUUGAAUUUAGUCUAUUCAACUGUUAAAAAGAGUGCUGAAUAUUCCAGGCUACAAAAAUAGAGGGAGGCUGAAACUUAUACUAUUAAAAGAUUCUAUCUUUUAUACAUGAAGUCGUAUUUGAUGACUUGACAUCUUUUUUUUCUUCACAUUUGCUACUAAUGUGUUGCAUUGGGUGGGUGCACACAAGGGAAUGGAUUUCAGAUGCUUAAAAAUUCAAAGUCAGGAUUCACAAGCUGUCUGAUAGCAAUAAAGGAGAUUGUAUGUACUGUGGAGCAGGGAUGUAAAAUUCUAUUCAUUUAGUUAACCAGUUAAAUGUUAAGUUUAGGCAGUUAAUUGAUUAAACUGGGGCAGCCGGGAGUGGCCCUUGCCCAUGGUCCAACCAGGGCUACUCCAGCUCCAUAGUGCUUCGGGCUUUUCACCCUGCAUGGGUGAGGAGCAGAAGCUGCAGUGUGGGGUGGCAAAGCUGCUGGCUCCCAGGGCACGCAAGCUCUUGGUCUGGAAGUUGGCAGGCUCUCACAGGGUAUAGUAGGCCAGUUACCCAUAGAAGUUAUCUGUUCAAAUCCCUACUGUAAAGAUAGAAAUUUCAGCAAUGAAAUUUUAUUUCAGUUUCAAGCUUCCAAAUGGCAUCAAGCAGAAAAGCAUUCUAAAAGCAAUGGUUCACUUGUGUUCCAUUUUGAAUGCCAGGCAGCAAACUGAAAGGAAGGAAUCUUGGUGGGAAAUGUCAUGUGUGACCAUUAAGGGGCUUUUCCUGGCAUCCCAGAAGGAAGUUGUCCUGUUACUUUUUCUUAGAAACUGAUCAUAAACCGUGAAGUGUGAAUGCUCUACUACUGAUGAAGAAAAGUCUUUUCCUUAAGAUCUCUUAUCUUUCUGUUUCAACUUCUUAAACCAACAUUUGAUGUAUGGAGCCUUCACUAGCUGGCUUCCCCCCCAUAGGAGCACACAGCAAGCAUUUUACCAACCCUUACAAGUGAAAUAAUUGUUUUGAUGUUUUCCUGAAGAGAUGUCUUCAGAGUUUUUGAACUCAGUUUGCGCCCUAAAGAAAAUUCUUGCAAGCAUGUCCACACAGAAACCAUUCUUCUUGAACGGCAUCUCCUUUCUGCAUCUUAGAAGGGUAAUGUCUUCUCUCUCUCUGCCCUAUUGGAGAACCUUGUAAAUAGAUAAAUGCGUAUGGUGUUGUGCCAAGCUGUUUCAACAUGUGUGAAAGGUUGCAGCAAGAGAACCAGAACACAUUUCCACCCUGAAACAAGUAACAGACUUAAAAAACCUCACAAUCCUGGAAAAUCCAAUAACAAGGAUGUCCUAAUCCAGAACAAAGAACGGACUUUGUAGAUAAAUGUCUUAAUGUCGACCUCGUGAAGCAACUAAUGCACAGAAACAAAUACAGAAUUACCUUUCCCAUCAUGUCUGAAUGAAUCAUUACAUUCUGUGAUCAAAAACAUCUGCAUGUGUAAAUCCACACAACCAGUGAAUGUGAAGAGCUUUUACCAGGAAAGAGUUGCUCUGCAUUGCCUCUUUUGUAGCAAGCCCCUUCCCUAAGAAGGUGAAUCUUUGAGCAACUCUAAUGCUAUUGGUGGUCCUAUAGUGUUGGGUUUACAUUGUACCUCCAGUCUUGUCCAGCAGCUUCAUCAACAAAAGGAACAAAAAAACUCUAUAAUCCAAGAGAUCGGACAGAACUUUUUUAAAAAAGGAACUUACCUCCAGUGGAAUGAGAGAGGCUACAAGUGUAAUGCUCCAACUCAUCCACUCCGUGUCCUAGGUGCGGUUUGAGUUCAUACAGCUGAUGGAGUUGUUUAAGUCUCUUUUGGCUACUGGCAUAUUUGGAUGGACACUCUUCCAGGGUAUAGACACUAGGAGGUAUGAUAGAGAAAGAAACAAGUUCAGAAAGAGAGCAGAAAUGCUGAAGGAAGUGUGCUCUUUUUCUGGCUCCUCCUAUAUCUACAUCCCAAACUAAGGAGGAGAUCAUGGUUCUCACACGUUAACGCCAGAUUCUUUCUCUCCCAUAUCACUUUGGACUUAUACAGGAUAUUUUCCUUCCAUUUGAGAGAGAGAGAAACUUUGUUGUUUAGUUGUUCCCUGCAGUGUCAGUCUGUAUGCUCAAUGAGGUUUCUUGAUGGAAAGGCCAUAAUUGGCUUAUCUGUUUUCUUUUACUUGAACCUGGAGCUCUUAGUAGUGCAUCUUAUUCCAUGAAUGUGUUGAAAUGAAUUUAACAAAUGUGAUUUGCUGAUUUAAAAAAAAAAUAAUUACAAAUCUGGAUUUUAAAAAAGGGGAGUAGGCUCUGUUCAUAUUAUUUUUUUUAUUUUCUUUUAGAAAACCAUUGAAGAGAUCCAAGCAGCCUGAAAAAUGGCUUUAAAAAAAACAGCCGAAAUUUUUCUCAGCUCCUGAUGAUGGUAGCAAGAACAACAUUUUGUGACUGGUAGAGAAGGGUAAGGAGUUAUAAAAAGAUGGGGAAGAGAGAAUCUCUAAAGAAACUCUCUUUCUGAUGUCUCCCUAUCAGUAGUAGAAGUUGAAGGGGAACAAAUUCUGGGAUUGAACAACUCCAUGCAUUGGUUUUGGUUUUGUUCUUCACUCCUGAGAAUAAAGUGUAGAGCCACAGUGAACAUGUGUUGUGACAGUAAGAUUUAAUUAUGUCUUUUCCUAUUUUGUGCUCUCUUGAAGAAAAAAUCAGUCUCACUGACUUGGGAAUAUUGAGCUAUACAUUUCAUACUUAAAAUAACAUUAGAAGUAGUGGCAUCAGAAUAUAAAAAGCACCAAUGCCCCACAAUCAGUUGCCUUUAUCUGUUCACUUGGAAAAAUGAUUAUAUUAGUUAUGGCCAGGCUGGUUGGCUGGUUUCCUUUAAGUACAUUGCAUUCCUUUGUCAAACAGAAUUUAGAUUUUUGAGUGUUAAAGGCAACUGGAAAAAUACGUUCUCUUUUAGAUCCUCCUUAUUGAAGUCAAUGGGAUUUGGAAUUGAUUUCAGUAGAGGCAGGAUCAGAUUGUUAAUGGUGGACUUACCUGCAGUCAGUGUCACAAGUUUAAAUGUGAUUAGAAGGUAUCCAAUAUGGCAAAUAUUUUAUCUUAAACCUGUGAUUUCUUCUUUUCACUUGCCUGGCUCCUGUUUGUCGUCCUACUGAUGUUCCUACUUGAAGCUGUUUCUAGCACAGCCUGAUUGCAAAUUGAUUUGGGAGCAGGAGUGUAUCUUUGUUUUUCAUAUACUGUAAAAGGCAGAGAAUGGACUCUGGAGACAGUGGAGGUACUUUAGCCCACUUUGCCACAUAUAUAGAAAUAAUUGUCUCUAAGCUCUGCCCCAUAACAAGAAAUGGCAACAAAUGUUGACUUUCCCUGCUUACCCCGAACAUAUAAUAGCCACUUGAUUAAUUUUUACGAUAAAAUUAUAGUAGGGCUAAUGUUCCGUGGCUGUCACAGGAGUAGCUUCAAUUGUGUAAGCCCAAAAGACCCCACUGGAGCAUGCUUUCUGCCAGCUUUUUUAUGAAAUUGCUGUGCUAGGCAAUACUGCCUCAGCUUUUAGACUUUACUCUUUGCUCCGCUUCUGUUUCUCAAUGUUGGUUGGAAAAUUUCCUGUAUGAAAGGUUAAACAAAUAAAUAUGGGGCAUGUGCAAUAGAUAUAUAUAUACAUAUAUAUAUUUUAAUACUUGUGGACAAAAUGAUGUUACAAGUUGUUUGAAAACAACAAAAUCACCAAUGUCUUCCAUUUUGAGAUGUGUAUAGUUCCAUAAGCAUUAGUGCUUUGUAGCAAACUGUAGUGCCAUGUUAGGAUCAGUGCAUGAGCCUAGUAGUAUUUUUACAAUUUCAGAGUGGCAAAUUAUUAAUGAUAAUAAACAAUAACGUAACUAACAGUAGAAAGCAGACAGUAAAAAAUGUUAUGAACAUGGUCUAAAGAUGCAGUAUCCUUAAGCAGUGGUAGUGACAAUGCUAUCUUUGGAAACAGAAUUUAUUAACUUGAUGGGAUUUGUGAAAUAAUAGCUGACUUUUUUUGGUAAAAUCUAUCUAAGCUAAACAGUAGACGGUGCGCAUCCAAAUUAAUCAUCUCUGAGUCCAUAUAAGGUGAACCGCAAGACAAAUCCUGGAUAUACACCAUAUUGGCAAUGUCAUUUGUUUCCUUUUAGUCUUAGAGAAACGCCCUAAACUGUUCUUGCAAAUACUCUUCAUAUAGACAACUUCAAUACCACCUUCCCUCCCAUCCACUAUAUAGAAGCUGAAGAGCCACUUAGUGUUUUUUAGCAGCUCGACUACCUUUUCAUAUAGGUAUAAUUAAGGAGCUCUGCCAGUUAUUGAGCAAAGUAAUAUUUUGCAAGAAAUAACUCUAUUUAAAGAAAUUACAUGAUGCUAAUGCUAAUUAGUAAAACUAGUUAAAUUGUUUUGGGAUGCUGUCUACAGAUUUUGUCAAUUUUGUGUGCUUAGAAUCUUAAAUUAUAGAUUGACACUUCCAGUACUUUCCCUAGCUAUCUAAUCUCUUUUUAACUACAUGGCAAUUUUUUCUCUCUUCACAAUGCACCCUCUCUAUUUUCUGACAAUGGAAAAUUGAGCUAAGUGAAAUCCAAACGGCUUAACAUUAAACAUAAGAUUGUCAUGAAAGUCAUAGACUCCAUGACUUUCAGAGAUAUGUGACAUUUUUCCUUCACCCUUGUGCCUGGGGUGGUAGGGCCAGGGCCACUGUAGGCAGUGGGGGACCCACAGCUCUGAGCCACUAUGGAUGGAGGCAACCUGUAGAUGUCAGCAACUGUCAGUAAUGGGGUCCCAGAGUUCAGAUGCUGGUACUAAAUUUGUCAGCCACUGCAGGCAAAAGAGGCCCUGGAGCUGUCAGUCCCAGUAGGUGCUCGAACUCCUUCAACUUCCAGCAGCAAGGCUAGGGCUUCAGUUGUCUCCCAGUCAGCCCCUUCCCGCCCAUUAUUUCGAGUAAAAGUCACAGAGAGGUUAUGGGCUUCCAUGAAUUGUUAUCACCUACAACCUGUCCCUGACAUUUACUAAAAAUAACUGAGACAAAAUCUUAACUUGAUCACUUUCUCAAACAGGCAGUUUAGGCUUUUCAAGCAAGAGAUGGAAACAGUUCAUCCCAAGUUUGCAACAAUCUGUGGAUGAAAGGCAUCUGAUUUCCUGGUAUAGCUUUUUAAUUGCUGUCACUAUUAUUUUUCACCUGCCUCUGUUUAAAAAAGAACAAAAUCUGCUGUUGCUAAGCAAGGAUACUGCAUCUUUUUCUUGAGCCCUGCCUGUAAAUGGCCACCUGGGGAAAAAUGAGUAGCUUGGGUUUCUGAGUUGAUCUAGAUUAAUUAAAUGGGCAAAAUGUACUGAGAUACAAAACCAGUGAUUCUUGCAGAGUUAAUUAUGUAAUAAAAAACAGAGUCUCUGCAUAUUCCGUCUUUCCAUGUAUAUUGGGCAGGUGGGCUGUUUACAGUAGAGCUCUGGAGAACUGUGCUCAAAUCUAGUUCAGUUCUGAACAAAAAUAACUAUACCAUUGAAUCAAGUAGUUUAGUGCUUGGGGGAAUCAAUUGAUAAAAAUACCUCUGAAACUGGAAUGCAAAAUAGCACAGUAUGUAGGGGAAAAUAUCCCUGAUGCAAACAAAGCCAUAAAAAGAUUUAAUAAAACUAGAAUUUUAGUAGCAAUAACUGUUUUGCAUGUAAUAGUAACUAACUUGCAUUAGCAAGAUUGUACCGUAGAAUAAGUGGUAAUAACCAAAUAAGUUUGUGGUCUGUGCUGCAGGGAGUUGCAUGAAGAGAACAGUGUCUCUUUUUAAGAAGAUGGAAGAAUUUUUCUUACUAUUCUCCUCCUUUGAGGGAAAUGGCACUUAAAUACUAUAGUGAUGAGACUUGUAUCAAACCUGGAUAGCUGUAGGUCAUGUAUCUAAAUUGGUGCAUGUAGGGGAAGAGUGACUGGUUUCCCUAUUGCUUGUUUUGUAGAGUAGCAUGUGCAGUGCCUCUGAGAGGAAAGUGCUGAGAUGUGAAGAAGACCCAUUCCCCACAGUUGGAAAGCAUGAUUCAAAGCUUUUUAUUGAGAGAGAGAGUUUUGUUUUUAUAAAGAAAAAACAAGUAGAAAUGUGACGUGUCCUAAAAAGAAAGCAUUGCAAAAUGUUGACAUGCUAAAUAUUUUUUUCUGCAGGGACAGAAUUGCAGGAUUUCUCUUUCAAAAGACUAUCCUACUUCCAAUUUUAAGUACAAAUCAGCCAUAUGUUUCCAUUUAAGAUUAAAACUGUCUUCUGUUCACCGUUUUCAGUUUUGCAAAGCCAGUUGCAGUAGAUUCUCAGAGGCAGAUUGAUCUGCUUACUGUGGCCUUUGUCCCUGGCAACUUUUGACGACCUUUAAAAGAACCUAUGGAGUUUUAAAAUACAACCCACAGUCAACCUUGUCUUCGAUACAUAUGUGUAGCCUGCCGAGAGUAUACAAGGUAGCAUGCCAUUUUCUGUCCUGAAUUGAAUUAUUAAACCAAAGUGUGUAUUGAUCCAUGUGGUGACUUAAUCUCUUUGAUCACAAUGGAAUAUUGCAUCUGUAGUCUCUGCAAGUGGCUGCACUUUGCUUCAUUAUUUAGUAAACUAGGUGGGGCCAUUUGUCCCCUAGCAAGUUAAUAAUAUGACCCUCUGUUGGGGCAAAAUGUAGGUACCCUUACUCUAAUGUAACCAAGAUCAGUGUUUGGAUAAGUAGCUAAGUUUAGUAAGUAGGGGCAUAUUCAGUAGUACUCUUGUACAUGAAAACCUGUGAUCUGAAAGAUGGUGGGUAAAAUAAAUUCCGGGCAUUAAAUUAUUAUUAAAGCAGGAAGCAUACCAAGAGUAAACCUUAACUUGAUCAUAUUAUUGACCUCUAGAUGGUAUUAGAUGAGCCUUAUAUACUUACAAAAAUCUACUUGCCAGUCUUUUACUAUAAUACAGGCAGUCCUCAGACUUACAACACAAUUACUUCCUUACAGUUGCGCUGUAAGUUGGAACAUUGUAACUUAGACUCGCAGUAUACUUCACUGGAGACUAAGCAUUGUAAAAUCAAAACCUAUAGUCAGAAGUCGAAUUAGGGUAUCAGUCUAGAAGUGUUGUGUUGUUUGAGUUAAGUGAAAUGUCAAAAGGCUGAGGACUACCUGUAAUGAAAACACUAUCUUGCUCACUUCUCCAGAAUAUAUACUUUUCCUAGCUGAGUAGAGUUUUGCAAGACUGUGUUACAGUUAAAAUGAAAACCUGCAAGCCUAUGGUAGCCAUGAAGGCUAUUUGAUUGUUGGUGCCAAUGCAGUUUUUCUCGUGUACUAUUCUCCUGGGGGUGACUACAUUUCAAAAGACUGCUCACAACAGCAGUGUCAGAGAUCCUGCUUCCCUAAAGCCACUGAGCAGUGGCAUGGUAUCUUUUUUUUUUCUCUCCCAAACUCUUGAUUUCCUUGCUUGAAAAACAAAGCAGGAACUUCAGACAAUAUGAUGGUUGUCAAGUAGUGCCAUUCUAAAACUAGGUCUAUGCAGUACUAGGUCUACUUUAGAUCAUGUGUGUGUGGACUGUGCAGAAACUUAUGGUCUGCUUUUUUUUUUGUUUAUUGGUGCUGUUGGAGAAGUUCUAGCCAGUACUUAUGCUGUGAAUUUUAUUUCUUGUUCAGUACAGCUGGCUGGAUACGAUCUUUUCAGCACUAAGGAAUUCUUGUGGCAAGUUUUUGGGGAUAGUAGGACACUGCUAUUUUAAACAGAGCUUACCUUGACAGCAGAACUGGUUGUGAGUUUUAUGGAAGUACUACUCAAUAGUAAUGGGAGAACAGAACCUUUUCCUGAGGAAGUUUGUCAGUACUCUUAAAGACCCCCCUUUUCCCUGCAUUGCAGUGACCAUUCUUUUAAGCCACUAAUCUAGACUGGCUGAGAUUUCCUUCCAAGCCCAUUUGAGCAGCUCUUUACUAGAGGAGAGGGCUACCUGUUGGGCAAUUCAGGGUAUAGCCAUUCCUCCCAGAGGUUCAGCAUCUUGUCUCCACAGUAUGCCCAGGGUAGGGUACCAAGGGCCAGCAAUAGAACCUGGGUGUUUCAAAUAGCGGUGGAGAAUGCUAUCUAUGGAGCCCUUCCCCCUGCACCACUUUUUUCCUGAAGUUAGACUUCAAAAUAAUGCAAAUUCAUUAGUAAAGGACAGGUCUGUCACUAAACCUAUGUACCAAGCACUCACAGUGCACUCAUUCUCUUAAGGCUUACCUUUUAUCUUGACUGUCAGAUGUUCUGUCUUUACCAUAGGUCCUGUGUAAAUUCUGUUUUCUCACCAAACUCUGUGUUUGCGGGGCAACUAAGAGGAUGUUUGUAUGUGAAGCCCUAGGAGCAAAAAACUGCAUGGACAAACUGAGGAAGAGUGGCACAGGCCCAUAAAUCAAGUCUUAUAGAGCUAGUAUUCUAAUUAUGCAUGAUUCAAAAUGUCUAGUGUUACAUAGUUAUUACCAGUAAAUUCAGAUAUGCAUUUAUUCAUAAUGAAGCAAUAGGAACUAAUAUACCAAUAGCUUGAAUUUACUGCUUUGAUUCUCAAAUUACGUUUUUAGAAAACGCACUGCCUCUGUAGACAAAGGGGCAGAUUGUACAAAUAGGGACAGAAGAAGCAUGGCACCAAAACUGCAUAUCAGGAACAAGGAUCAGCAGGACUCGCCUUUUUAACCUCUUGCCUGGUUCACAUUAAUGCCCUGAGCAUGUAAAAAACAGGGUAUGAACUAAGCAUGUUUAGUGGCGAGAUAAGGUUUCUCAGCUGCUGCAAUUGUAGCAAAUGGAAAGGUGCAGAGUUUCACAGGGUGUGGGGAGGGUUAAGGGUGAAAUCUAUAAAAAAUGACUCGUAAACUUGAGUGUAGGAUUUGCCUGAUAACAGGUGAAAGAGGUCUUGACUUAGUGAGGUACAUUCUUUGAAGGGGGUUGAAAUCAAUAAGCACAGUCCAUGUAUUUCAGGUGUUGAAUAGCUUUUUAAUAGUAUUUUCAGGUAAUUCUUAGCCACAGAGGCUGCUGUACUGAAGCAUACUGGUAUGAAUGAGCAGUUAUGGCACCAUGUAGGAAUGAACCUGAAACAUUUGACAAACUUGUGUUUUUAUUUUGUUGAGUUCUGACUAAAAUUUUUUUUUUUCAAAAGUGAUGAGAUUUCCUCAUUGGGGGUCCUGUCGUGGCAACACAGGUGACAAUGUAUUUUUGUUCUUGAUUUCACUGUUUUUGUUUUUUUUUAAACCUAGUGAACUUGAUAUGAAGGGACUUAUGGAAAUUAGGUGCCAUCUAUUUGUAAACUUUCACUGUGUUUUCUGUAAAGAAUAUAUCUUGGAACCACUGUGUGGGUGUUUGGGGAAAAUUUCUGCUGGGAAUGUAAUGUGGUGUGUCUUCAGCAGGGCAUAAGAACUAAUGCUGCUUUAACUUGUCUAGAGUAUGCAAAACUCAUAGCUCUUAGACUGAGACAAUUAACCUGCAUGAUAUCUUCUGGCUAAAUCUAACUUUGGAGGAGGACCUAGUUUAUGUGAAAACCCCUCUGUCAGAGAUUCCCUCCUCUUUCUUUAAAGAAACAAAAUGGGGCAAGAGGGUUUAUUGGUCAAGUUAAUUCCUAUCUACAUUCUUAGCCAUUAAUACAAGUCUUAUCCCCAAGACCACCCACAAUGCAGAGUUGGUGUGGGGGCCAUAUUUUUUUAUUCUUUCUUUAGAUAUAUAGUAGUUGCCAAAUGAAAAAAAAAAAA
This is a non-coding RNA of Pelodiscus sinensis (Chinese soft-shelled turtle), 10084 nucleotides long. The record is from RefSeq and is a predicted model, not a curated record. Lineage: Eukaryota; Metazoa; Chordata; Testudines; Trionychidae.